UGGUAGACAAAGUUCUUAACUACCUUAAAGUUUUGUCUAUAGAUGUCGACGUUUGGACCGAGCUGUGCGUGGUGUUGUAGGUUCUUUCUUGACUAACAGCGUGUACUUUGUUUUGCUCUCAUUGACCGCUGAACCCAAUUUUGCUCACGAAAGUUCAAAUGUAGCUCAAGAAAAAUUCCAAUAUUGAUGAAAAUUUCUACAGACAUUAUGAUGUUAAAAUAAAACUUUAAAAAAUGGGCAAAUAAAAAGUUAUUGAAGUUUUUUGAACUUAUAGAUUGUUUAAAAAAAAGUCUAAAACAAAAGCUAGACAAUGUUUCCAAGAAAAGAACAAUAAAGAAGUUGUCUCCGAAAAACGAAAUUUUUCUACAACAAUUCGACAAUUUCGUAUUACAAUAUUUUGUUAUGGGUCUGCUUAUUUACAUUUUAAGUUAGCAAAAAUAUAUAAAAAUUUAUCAACAGCAACGACAAUUUUUAAUCAACUUUUACAAUUUUAAAUAAAAUUGACAAUUGCAUGAUUCGCAAAGCUGUUAGGCAUUAAGCUUUAAAGAUCAUUAAAUUAUAUCCCAAUCCAGUUUAGAAACAUUUCUUCAUGUUUCAUUCUUCAAUUAAUAAUUUUGUAUUCAUACAAUUUUUGUAUAAAAGGAGAAAGAUUAUUUGAUAAUGUCAUCAGUCGAUUUUUGUUAAACAAUCAACAAUCACCUAAAACAUCAACAUGAAGUUCUUCAUCUUUUUUGCCUUGUUCAUUGUUGCCGUUAGUGCUGGAAGUCUUCCCAUUAUUGCCAGUUCAAGUUAUGGUGCAGCUAGACCAGCCCUUAUUACUACAUCAGUAGUUAGGCCUGUAGCUGUGGUUUCUAAAACUGUCAAUAUUGCCCCAGUUGGAGUUAAACUUCUUUAAAAUUUAAGUUUUUUUUAAAAUUGCAAAUGAAAAAAAUUGACGAGCAAAAAUUGUACUUAUAACAAUAUUAGAACAAAAAUAAAUGUAUUUUAAGUUAUCAGCAUUCUAAACAAA
This is a long non-coding RNA of Eupeodes corollae, 1009 nucleotides long. RefSeq lists it as uncharacterized. The transcript has 2 exons. The record is from RefSeq and is a predicted model, not a curated record. Lineage: Eukaryota; Metazoa; Arthropoda; Insecta; Diptera; Syrphidae.